UAUUGUUUGCUAACACUGGCAGCAAGGAUCUCUGGCAGAGGGAUUCCACGUCACCCACCUCCUGGCCCUUUUUAGCUGGAGAUGUCAGAGAUUGAACCCAGGACCAUUUGCAAGCCAAGCAGAUGCUCUUCCACUGAGCCACAACCUCCUUGAUUCCCUCUUGUCAGCUCCCUUAUCAUUCAGAUCUACCACAUCUGGGGAUUCUCUUUACAACCACACCGUUUCCUUUCAAAAAUAUCUUUGCAAGAAGCAUCAAAGUAUCUUUGCAAGAAGAUGCAAAGAUAAAAGACAAGGUUCUGCAAGCAAUUCUGCAAUCAACUCAGAAGAGCCAGGGUAGAAGCAGCAAGCUCAGUAUAAGUGGGAGAGGACCUGGCACAAACACAGUGAAGGUGACUCUCUCAGGAGCAAAGAGGAAGAUGAGGGUGUGCCAAAAAGUGAGAGAUGUAAUCUUCAGGAAGAGGCUGUUACUUCCAGUCCCAUCCCCAAGCAGAACAGAAGGCCAGCUCAAGAGCCAGUGGACUGAACACGACAUGAAACCAUCCCUCCAAAAUGCUGGGCCUCUUAAGAUGCAGUAGGCACUAGUUCCCAACAGAACCUGCAGUAUGCCAGAUGCUGUAGAGAACACGGCAACCUGAUCUCUGGCCAGGAGGUAUCGAAGGAUUUGGAGCGCCUUCCUUUCCUUUUUUCAGGAUCAGAGGACCAACCUCUGAUCUAAGCAACAAGCUCUUUCAGGGCUCAAUAGACAAAAGCUCUGCUCACCCAGACACUGCUCCUGCUCCUCUUCAACAACAAAAGACGACAAUGCAGAGACUGUAGGAGUGGCUUGAAAAUAGAUUUGUGCCUUGUCACAUGGCAAGGGGCUGGCCACAGGGCCUCCUGGUCCCUUCCAGCUGAGUGACUGGGCAGUCCCGCAGCGAAACUCAAAGGAAGACAGACCAGUUGAUAAAAUCAGAAUUGUCAUCUAGUAGCUGACCCGGAUGGAUUCUGACCAAAUUAGAAGAAAUAUAUACAAUUCAGGAGGAAGGGAGACGAGGUGCUUUAUAUUUUCCAGUCAUCAUCUGCAUCUCGUUCACCACUGAAUGAAACAGGCAGCGUUUAAGACAAGAUGUUUAGUCACACUAGCAAUUCCCCCCACCUGACACACACACACAACUCACCAAUCUAUUGAGUCCAACUGGAUCAAUCAAAGACACACAUGCUCAAUACUGUAACUGACAAAUCACUAGUAGUGGGGGAUGGGAAAUUUUCAAGCAGCAACUUUUUUGCAGAUGAUUCUAAGAGCAGAGUGGAUUAACAAAAAGUGGCAUAUCAUGGACAGUUCUUAGCAUCUCUGUGUCUUGAUGUUUCUCUUUAAAUUUUAAAAACACAAAGCAGGAGAGUCCUGUUAUGAAUACCCCAAUAAAAAUAGAUCCCACAUUAAACUUUACAUUCAUUUGUACAUUUGCUCCACAUUAGAUGUGCUUUGCUCUGAUCUGGUGGCCCAGGUUAGCAGGAUCUUGUCAGAUCUCAAAAGCUAAGUAGGGUUGGCCAAGAUUAGGAUGACAGAUAACAGAUUACAAAGGGAGUCCAGGUUGCUACACAGAGGCAGGCAAUGGCAAACCAACUCUGAACAACGUUUGCCUUGGAAGCCCUACAGGGUAACCAUAAGUGGGCUGCAACUGAACAACACUUUCUACUACCAAGUGUGCUUUAUGGAUUGGGGGAGGGGAGGCCUAAUCUGUUUAUCAUCAAUGACAUAUGUAGUUUGAUUAGAGUUGUUGAUGCUGUAUUGUGAAUUUGCUACAUAUAAUGUAAUGUUCAUUUAAAUUUAUAAUGUUAU
Long non-coding RNA from Sphaerodactylus townsendi, 1819 nucleotides. RefSeq lists it as uncharacterized. The record is from RefSeq and is a predicted model, not a curated record. Lineage: Eukaryota; Metazoa; Chordata; Lepidosauria; Squamata; Sphaerodactylidae. The transcript is spliced from 3 exons.